Molecule: long non-coding RNA, 795 nt
Filed under: Nicotiana benthamiana
Lineage: Eukaryota; Viridiplantae; Streptophyta; Magnoliopsida; Solanales; Solanaceae
Description: long non-coding RNA (NBEN_LNC008023)
Source: RNAcentral
UCUCUCCCAUUUCUUCUAUAUUUUCUCCUUUAUUUCCUUCCAUCCUUUCUUAUAAAAAAUCUAUUUAUCAAACAAAUCUCCAAAAAGCCAGAGAGAUUUUGGCCCAAAAAUUUUUAGACAUUCAGCAUAUUUCACUAUUUAUUCCGAUUACAUGAGGCAGUAGGGUUGUUCGUUGGACUUUGUCCUAUGAUGAAGAAAAAUCUGUGUGGAAUAUGGGUUUAAUGGAGGAGGUGGAUUUGGGUUUAAGGAUAGAUGAUGAAAACUGAAUUCAGAUGAAGGAAUAUUGUGCUUAUAGUGUCAUGGACUGCGGGAAGGUGCCAAUUAAGGAACAUUUUCUUCAAAAUAAUAUGAUGGUGUCGAGCAGCUCCGAUGGCUGACUGAUGGCGGAGUAGUGGUGAAUUGAAAAAUUUAUGGUGGUGGGCGAUUAGAUGGUGGAGAGACGACUGCGGUUCUUGACAAGGGUGGUAAUGGAGCCUCUAUUUGGGGUGGUAAUGGAAUCUCUGUAAUGGGGAUGGUAAUGGUAAUGGUAAUGGAGAUCUUGAUAGGGGUAUUUGGGAAGGUGAAACUAGGGUUGGAAAGUGGGCGGGUUGGGCUGAAUUUGGGCGGUUAAAGAUGGGUUAGUUCAAUAAUCGGGUCAUUCUUCGACCCAACCCAAAGUGUAUUUGGGUUAAGAUGGACUGGGUCAAGAUGGGCUAAACAAUGGGUCAUAACCCAACCCACCCAACUUGACACAUGUUUUAGAACCAUGCUCAUCUUGCAUAAAAAAAUCUUUUACCUUAAAAUAUAUAAGUCGAU